GCGCCCGUAGCUCUAAAUUGGAUAGAGCGAUGGACUCCAAAUCCAGUGGUUGAGGGUUCAAGUCCCUCCGGGCGUGCCA
Molecule: transfer RNA, 79 nt
Filed under: Patescibacteria group bacterium
Lineage: Bacteria
Also listed under: 1 other name
Description: tRNA-Trp
Rfam family: tRNA
About the family: Transfer RNA (tRNA) molecules are approximately 80 nucleotides in length. Their secondary structure includes four short double-helical elements and three loops (D, anti-codon, and T loops).
Source: RNAcentral